UACGGAGGAUCCAAGCGUUAUCCGGAUUUAUUGGGUUUAAAGGGUGCGUAGGCGGCCUAUUAAGUCAGGGGUGAAAGACGGUAGCUUAACUAUCGCAGUGCCUUUGAUACUGAUGGGCUUGAAUGGACUAGAGGUAGGCGGAAUGUGACAAGUAGCGGUGAAAUGCAUAGAUAUGUCACAGAACACCAAUUGCGAAGGCAGCUUACUAUGGUUUAAUUGACGCUGAGGCACGAAAGCGUGGGGAGCAAACAGG
RNAcentral lists this ribosomal RNA (253 nucleotides) under uncultured bacterium. RNAcentral's name for it is "partial 16S ribosomal RNA". It matches the Rfam family "Bacterial small subunit ribosomal RNA", at positions 524 to 776 of the family's 1533-position model. The record is from RNAcentral.